RNAcentral lists this ribosomal RNA (301 nucleotides) under uncultured bacterium. RNAcentral describes it as "partial 16S ribosomal RNA". It matches the Rfam family "Bacterial small subunit ribosomal RNA", at positions 509 to 807 of the family's 1533-position model. The record is from RNAcentral.
CAGUCGCCACGGUAAUACGAAGGGUGCAAGCGUUACUCGGAAUUACUGGGCGUAAAGCGUGCGUAGGCGGUCUGUUAAGUCUGUUGUGAAAUCCCCGGGCUCAACCUGGGAAUGGCAAUGGAUACUGGCAAGCUAGAGUGUGUCAGAGGAUGGUGGAAUUCCCGGUGUAGCGGUGAAAUGCGUAGAGAUCGGGAGGAACAUCAGUGGCGAAGGCGGCCAUCUGGGACAACACUGACGCUGAGGCACGAAAGCGUGGGGAGCAAACAGGAUUAGAUACCCCUGUAGUCCCUGUCUCUUAUAC